RNAcentral lists this ribosomal RNA (103 nucleotides) under Polymyxa graminis. Its description in RNAcentral is "partial 28S ribosomal RNA". The record is from RNAcentral. Lineage: Eukaryota; Endomyxa; Phytomyxea; Plasmodiophorida; Plasmodiophoridae.
GGUCCCUUCAAAUCAGGCCGGCCUGGUCAAGUCCAUCGGAUUGCUGGUACGAUAGUCCGUCAUGGCGCAAGGAACCACUUGGCAAGAUCUCAGAUGAGGUAAG